RNAcentral lists this transfer RNA (75 nucleotides) under Halomonas sp. MG34. RNAcentral describes it as "tRNA-Gln". It matches the Rfam family "tRNA". From Rfam's summary of the family: Transfer RNA (tRNA) molecules are approximately 80 nucleotides in length. Lineage: Bacteria; Pseudomonadati; Pseudomonadota; Gammaproteobacteria; Oceanospirillales; Halomonadaceae. The record is from RNAcentral.
UGGGCUAUAGCCAAGCGGUAAGGCAUCGGGUUUUGAUCCCGUGUAUCCCAGGUUCGAAUCAUGGUAGCCCAGCCA